This 492-nucleotide ribosomal RNA is filed under the name uncultured bacterium. RNAcentral's name for it is "partial 16S ribosomal RNA". It matches the Rfam family "Bacterial small subunit ribosomal RNA", at positions 30 to 507 of the family's 1533-position model. The record is from RNAcentral.
AUUGAACGCUGGCGGCAUGCUUUACACAUGCCAGUCGAACGGUAACAGGCCUUCGGGUGCUGACGAGUGGCGAACGGGUGAGUAAUGCAUCGGAACGUGCCCAGAGGUGGGGGAUAACGCAGCGAAAGCUGUGCUAAUACCGCAUGUGAUCUGAGGAUGAAAGCGGGGGACCAAGCAGCAAUGUUUGGCCUCGCGCCUCUGGGGCGGCCGAUGUCAGAUUAGGUAGUUGGUGGGGUAAAGGCCUACCAAGCCGACGAUCUGUAGCUGGUCUGAGAGGACGACCAGCCACACUGGGACUGAGACACGGCCCAGACUCCUACGGGAGGCAGCAGUGGGGAAUUUUGGACAAUGGGCGCGAGCCUGAUCCAGCAAUGCCGCGUGCGGGAAGAAGGCCUUCGGGUUGUAAACCGCUUUUGUACGGAACGAAAAGGCUCUGGCUAAUACCUGGGGCUGAUGACGGUACCGUAAGAAUAAGCACCGGCUAACUACGUG